CCUACGGGGGGCAGCAGUGGGGAAUAUUGGACAAUGGGGGGAACCCUGAUCCAGCCAUGCCGCGUGUGUGAAGAAGGCCCUCGGGUUGUAAAGCACUUUCAGUGAGGAAGAACGCCUGGUGGUUAAUACCCAUCAGGAAAGACAUCACUCACAGAAGAAGCACCGGCUAACUCCGUGCCAGCAGCCGCGGUAAUACGGAGGGUGCGAGCGUUAAUCGGAAUUACUGGGCGUAAAGCGCGCGUAGGUGGCUUGAUAAGCCGGUUGUGAAAGCCCCGGGCUCAACCUGGGAACGGCAUCCGGAACUGUCAAGCUAGAGUGCAGGAGAGGAAGGUAGAAUUCCCGGUGUAGCGGUGAAAUGCGUAGAGAUCGGGAGGAAUACCAGUGGCGAAGGCGGCCUUGUGGACUGACACUGACACUGAGGUGCGAAAGCGUGGGUAGCAAACAGGAUUAGAUACCCGUGUAGUC
Molecule: ribosomal RNA, 465 nt
Filed under: Vreelandella stevensii
Lineage: Bacteria; Pseudomonadati; Pseudomonadota; Gammaproteobacteria; Oceanospirillales; Halomonadaceae
Description: partial 16S ribosomal RNA
Rfam family: Bacterial small subunit ribosomal RNA
Source: RNAcentral